This 497-nucleotide ribosomal RNA is filed under the name uncultured bacterium. RNAcentral's name for it is "partial 16S ribosomal RNA". It matches the Rfam family "Bacterial small subunit ribosomal RNA", at positions 38 to 507 of the family's 1533-position model. The record is from RNAcentral.
GGGGGGGGGGGGGGGGGGGGGUGGGGCGUGCGGGGCGGGGGGGCGGGCGGGAGGGUUGCGUCUCUGCUGUUGGCGGGGGAGGGGUGCGUACCACGUGGAUACCCUCCCUAUACGGCUGGGAUCGCUUCGGGAAACCGGGGCGCAUGACGGAUAAUAUUUUGAGCCGCAUGGUUACACCGUGAACGCCGGUCUUUGUGUCACUUAUCUAUGGCUCUGCGCUGCGUUAGCUAGUUGGUAAGGUCCCGGCUUACCAAGGCAACGAUGCAUAGCCGACCUGAGAGGGUGAUCGGCCACACGGGAACUGAGACACGGUCCAGACUCCUACGGGAGGCAGCAGUAGGGAAUCUUCCGCAAUGGGCGAAAGCCUGACGGAGCAACGCCGCGUGAGUGAUGAAGGUCUGCGGAUCGUAAAACUCUGUUAUUAGGGAAGAACAUAUGUGUAAGUAACUGUGCACAUCUUGACGGUACCUAAUCAGAAAGCCACGGCUAACUACGUG